CUCUCUGCGGGCUGGUUCCAGCGACAAGGGAUACUCUAUACCCUGCGUCCAAACCGGUCUUGAGGCCGCUUCCUCGGGAGUAAGAGCCUGGAACCGGUUUCUAAGGCUCGGCGUUCAAACGGGGCGGGUGGCGAGGAAGGGAAGGAAGGAGGGAAGGUGGCGGGAAGAGGAGGAGGAGGGAAGGAAGGAAAGAAGGAAGGAGAGAAGGGGAGGCGGUGAAGGUAGACGAGAGCGGGUGAGCCGCGCCCCUCCUUUCUCCCUCCGACUUGGUGGUUUUGGGGACCUUGCAGGGAAUCCCACGCCUUUUUGCCGGCAUGGAGAGCGGGCCAGCGAAGGAGACCAAAGCGGGAUUGAAACGGAGGUAGAGGCGCUGGUGAGCUUUUCUGCCCAGGCCAUUCCAAUAAGUCCUGUGUGAAAGAGCCCCCUUUUACAUUAUUUUAGAGUCAAACUCCCGUGGAGUGCCAAGGAAGGCGAUUCCCAUGAAAUCAAAUCAGUGGGAAUCUGGCACAUUGAGCCAUUAGCCUUGUUCGCGGGAUGGAGCUGUUCCAGCCCAGCAAACCCAUCUCGGAAUGUGUUUCCACACCUGCCAAGCGGUACCGUGAGAUUUCAUGGACCCAAGGACGUGGGAGCGGCCAGGAAAUCCGUUUCUGUUUCUGUUCGGCACGUGAAGGAAAAGGUGCCACGCUUGAACGCGGCUUCCUCGAGAAUCAACCCACGGAACUUCUUUCCGAAGAAACAGAAGAAACCUCACAACCUCUGAGGA
Molecule: non-coding RNA, 763 nt
Organism: Anolis sagrei ordinatus
Lineage: Eukaryota; Metazoa; Chordata; Lepidosauria; Squamata; Anolidae
Source: RefSeq, a predicted model, not a curated record